GUCCUAGUUACCAGCACGUUAUGGUGGGCACGUCUAAGGAGACGUGCCGGUGACAAACCGGAGGAAGGUGGGGAUGACGUCAAGUCAUCAUGGCCCUUACGGCCUGGGCUACACACGUGCUACAAUGGUCGGUACAAAGGGUUGCCAAGCCGCGAGGUGGAGCUAAUCCCAUAAAACCGAUCGUAGUCCGGAUCGCAGUCUGCAACUCGACUGCGUGAAGUCGGAAUCGCUAGUAAUCGUGAAUCAGAAUGUCACGGUGAAUACGUUCCCGGGCCUU
Molecule: ribosomal RNA, 277 nt
Filed under: uncultured Pseudomonas sp.
Lineage: Bacteria; Pseudomonadati; Pseudomonadota; Gammaproteobacteria; Pseudomonadales; Pseudomonadaceae
Description: partial 16S ribosomal RNA
Rfam family: Bacterial small subunit ribosomal RNA
Source: RNAcentral